Molecule: RNA transcript, 2404 nt
Organism: Musa acuminata AAA Group (dessert banana)
Lineage: Eukaryota; Viridiplantae; Streptophyta; Magnoliopsida; Zingiberales; Musaceae
Gene name: U-box domain-containing protein 4-like
Exons: 4
Source: RefSeq, a predicted model, not a curated record
GACCUCCUUCGGCCUCCUCUCUCCCAUGGCUUCUUCUACUUCGCCUUCGAGUUACCAUCCCAUUCUCCUCUAAUCUUUCUGUCCGCUUUGCGCUCUCUUGAUCGGUGUAAGAUACUGAAGAUUGUGCCUUUGCCAUGGUCUCGCUCGCUGACUCCCAGUGCGGGAGGGCUCCGCGCUACCACCAUGGCCGAUCCAUGCGCACGGUGCGCUCCUACCUCUUCCACCACCGUCCCUCCACCGGUGCCCCGCCCGCCCUGCCCCCUUCCUCCUCCGCCGCCGUCUCUGAGAACCUGACCGACUCCGUCGUCGACUUCAAGCUCCGGGAGCUCGCGGUCGGGGUAGGGUCCUCCGUCGCUGAGCCUGCCGCCUCCACCGAGGAGCUUCUCGAGAUCUCUCGGGAGUUCUCGGACUGCUCCAGCUUUGGCUCCGACAUCUCCGGCGAGCUCCAGAGGUUGGCCUCCCUCCCCAGAUCCGAGGCGCCGCGGAGCACUGCGUCGCCGGAGAUCGAUGGCAUCGAGGCGCUGGGGGGAACAGGAAUCGGCUCGUCGUCCGAGAUCUUGGAGAGCGCGUCGCUGGAUGGCGUGGAGCCGGUGGUGCGCGCGUGCGUGGAAGGCCUGGGGUCGCCGUCGGCGGAGGCGAAGCGCGUGGCGGCGUCGAAGAUCCGGCUCCUGGCGAAGCACCGGUCCGACUUCCGGGCGCUCAUAGGGGCGUCGGGGGCGAUCCCGGCGCUGGUUCCGCUGCUGCGUAGCACGGAUCCGGCGGCGCAAGAGAGCGCGGCGACGGCGCUGCUGAACCUCUCGCUGGAGGAGGUCAACAAGGGCCGGAUCGCGGCGGCAGGCGCGAUCAAACCGCUGGUCUACGCAAUGCGGACUGGGACGGCGGCCGCGAAGCAGAACGCGGCGUGUGCGCUGCUGAGCCUGUCGAUGAUCGAGGAGAACCGUGCAACGAUCGGGGCCUGCGGGGCGAUCCCGCCGCUGGUGGCGCUUCUAGUGGGUGGGUCGAGCCGGGGCAAGAAGGACGCUCUCACCACGCUCUACAAGCUGUGCUCCACGCGGCGGAACAAGGAGCGAGCGGUUAGCGCAGGGGCUGCGGUGCCGCUGGUGGGCAUGGUGGGGGAGCCCGGCGGGGGCACGGCCGAGAAGGCGAUGGUCGUGCUGGGAAGCCUGGCGGCCAUCCCGGAGGGCCGUGAGGCGAUCGUGGAGGCCGGCGGCAUCCCGACACUUGUCGAGGCGAUCGAGGCCGGCCCGGCGAGGGGGAGGGAGUUCGCCGUGCACGCCCUGCUCCUGCUCUGCGCCGACAGCCCCCGGAACCGCGGCCUUCUCGUCCGCGAGGGCGCCAUCCCACCGCUCGUCGCCCUCUCGCAGUGCGGCUCCGCCCGCGCCAAGCUCAAGGCGGAGACGCUUCUCGGCUACUUGCGCGAGCAGCGGCAGGACAUGGCGAGGUAAUCUCUCGCUUGCUGAUAAUGGUAAAACCGUAAAUAAUGGGCCAUGCUGUCACCUUAAAGUGGCUGGUUUUGUGUGCGCUGUUUGGUACUAAUCACUGUCGACUGACCUGUUCUGAAAUGAUUAAUUAUAUUGGGUAGGGAAUAGCAGUAGAUCUGUAAAGAGUUGUGGUGGGUGAUGCCACCAUACUCUGUCAUCUGAUCUUGGUGUGAGGGUUUGAGGAAGGGAAAGGAGAGGAUUUGGGUUAUAAGACUCUGGUUUUUUUGUUUGGGUUUGUCAUCCAAAUUCUGCUGCUGCUUAAAAUUGCUGUGUGUUGGGUUCUGACCCAGCCUUCAGAUGUUCAGAGCCUUUUUCAUGGAUGUUGCAAAUGGUAGCAGCCCAUGGCUAAGCUCAAAGCAGAUAGGCUGUCUGUUUGAUUCAUAUUAGCUGUUGCAAUGGGUUGCUUCAACCAUUGGUGAAGAUAAAAAUGUCAAUUUGGUUCUAAACCAGCCCUAGAAAGCUGCAUUAUCUUGACAUGAAUGGAGACAACAAAUGCAACAACUGAGAAGAUCUCCAGUGUGACAAAUGAAGGUUCUGAACCAGCUUUAAAAAUCUUGGAUUCUCCUUACAUGAAGAGAACAUCAUAUUGCAGUCACUGAAUGUAAAUUAGAUGCAAGCAGUGCUGGUCUUAUCCAGUAGUCACCUACCUCCACCUAAUGGAUACAGAACAUCCACAGUUGAUAGUUCCACUGGCUCCACAUUGCACUGGGGGAACAGUCACAAAUCUAAAGCUGUAGUGGAGCAGUCUAAAAUCUUUUUUCCAUCCAAAGAACAAUAGAGACAAGACAGACUGGCUCUUCACCAUAAUCCAUUAUGAACUGAUGCAGAUAGCUGUCAAAUAGUGGACCCUAAGUUGUUGUGGUUGAGUCCCUUUACAUGAAAAAUGACAAUGAGUUGUAUUUUAGAUAGCAUAGUAUGCCUUU